Molecule: unclassified non-coding RNA, 453 nt
Filed under: Stenotus acaulis
Lineage: Eukaryota; Viridiplantae; Streptophyta; Magnoliopsida; Asterales; Asteraceae
Description: partial external transcribed spacer
Source: RNAcentral
UAAAGGUGCAUGAGUGGUGUUUGGUUUGAUACGGGUGGUCGGCUCCCUGCUUGAGCAGGCACGGCCAUGCGUGCAUUCCUUUUCAGUUGUGCGGCAAGGCUUGUAUCGUCUUGAUCGUAUAAGUGGGUUUCUUGUGUUGUAUACCUGAUCAAUGGCAUCGUUUUGAUCAAAAUGGUACCUUUUUCGUCUGGCUGAUGCACUUGUUGCAUUGUCGGAUGAACCGUGUAGCAUCCUCUUUGAUCCAUACAGUUGAUGUGUAUUCGUUGAUUGUUUGGCCCGUUGAGGGUGACUUGGUCUCUCGGAUAUGGAAGCCAAAGUGGGCAUGGGUUCGCAAGAUCCCUUUAUUGCCCUCAUUGAGCGUUCUCGCUUCUCUUACACGACCGCCUUUCACGUAUGGCACGUCCCAGCGUGUUUGGCUAUGUCGAAGAGGAAUGCUACCUGGUUGAUCCUGCC